GCUAUAUAGAGGCCCAUAAUACAAUUUUGUAGCUGAAUGAUGCCCUAAAACCUAAACCUAACCCUAAGCACCUAAAGUCUCAAAAGCCACUUCCCCCUUUUAUAUAUAUAUGAACGCAAACACAUGAUCUUCUUCAAUCAUUCCUUCAGUGAUGAUGAAAGUUUAUUUGACAAUGUCUUCUGAAGCAUAAAUUAUGCGAAGUGAUUGAACAAUUAACCUCCUACUCAUUCUGAAUCCCAUUUUCGUCCUUUGGAUUAUCAAUUUUUUAAAUUUUCGAAUGAUUUCUGUUAAUGAGUAGUUUCUUGAACAUGAAUUGAAUUAUUAUGUUAUGAUUUUUAAGAAUGAGGUGAAACAGAGGUUAAAAAGUGGCAA
This is a long non-coding RNA of Lactuca sativa (garden lettuce), 372 nucleotides long. RefSeq lists it as uncharacterized. The record is from RefSeq and is a predicted model, not a curated record. NCBI's taxonomy places the organism in Eukaryota, Viridiplantae, Streptophyta, Magnoliopsida, Asterales, Asteraceae.